GUCAUAUUUAAAAAAAUGUAGCCUUAGUAGUUGUAUGAUUUCAUGAACACAAUUAGAACACAAUAUAAUAGAUCUUACAUUUAGGCGAUUUUGCAAGACUAGCUUAAUUCACGAAUUUAUUCAAAUAUCAACUUUUACAGUAAUUCAUGAAUACAUGUCAAUAUAAUAAAACAAGUUCACUUUGCCUUCAGAGUUUCUCUUUUUAAAUCAUAUAAAAUUCGUAUUACCUACUUUUUCACAAAAUUGUUUACGGCAAAUCCUGACGCGCCGACGCGGCUAUGACGCCCAAAUUCAAAGCAAACCGGCGCUUCUCAGCCGCUUCUAUUGAUCCCAGACGAGGUGUUUUGCCCACAAUAACUUCCAAUCUGGCCUGUAUUUACAAAGAGAAUAAAUUCUUCUGCAUUGGGUUUAACAACAGCCUACAUUUCAUUGCCGUUUUGUCCCGAUAUUUCUGUAUAUAAAAUCAAGAUAGAUUAGCAUCAGCGCAUACGUGUUUGACCUACACACUCAGCCAUAAAAUUAGUAUCUCGCCCAAUCUGCCUGUCAGUUGGAUAACCGAAGGUUAAGGAUAUAGUUCUAUUUAAAUUUCAAUCGAAAUAUCGAAGAAAUUUCCAGAAACAUCUAAUUUAUACUCGAUUUUAUCAUGAUUUUAUCAAGAAACUAUAGCAAAUCAUAUGUAUUUUGUUUUGAUCAGUUCCCGGUUUGACGUCACAUCCGGCGUUUAUAGGCAUCUCGCCCUAGUCCUUUUACACUCACGGUUAAGCAAAAAAUCGCCAACUUUGAGCCCCUGAAAGUUCAUGAAGAUCAAAUUUUCGAAUUAUAAAAUAUAUUGCAAAAGUUCUUAAAAUCAUCUAAACUAUCUAAAUAGGCUAAUUCCCAAACUAUGACAUAGGCAC
Molecule: non-coding RNA, 896 nt
Organism: Paramuricea clavata
Lineage: Eukaryota; Metazoa; Cnidaria; Anthozoa; Malacalcyonacea; Plexauridae
Source: the annotation of a GenBank genome assembly